RNAcentral lists this microRNA precursor (77 nucleotides) under Opisthocomus hoazin. RNAcentral describes it as "mir-1759 microRNA precursor family". It matches the Rfam family "mir-1759 microRNA precursor family". Lineage: Eukaryota; Metazoa; Chordata; Aves; Opisthocomiformes; Opisthocomidae. The record is from Rfam by way of RNAcentral.
GCUUUGCUGUAGGGUAGAAGGAAAGAGGCGCUACCCUAUCAGCUGCCCCCUCUCCCAUCCUUUCCUUCUGCAGGAGC